UUAUUGUGAUGAUAAAACUAUUUUCAGUUCUGCUUCUGAACCAAAAAUAUCAUGAAGAUAACCAAUUUUACCAAAACAUUUCUGAAAU
This 88-nucleotide small nucleolar RNA is filed under the name Henningerozyma blattae CBS 6284. Lineage: Eukaryota; Fungi; Ascomycota; Saccharomycetes; Saccharomycetales; Saccharomycetaceae. The record is from RNAcentral.